AACGAACGCUGGCGGCAUGCCUAACACAUGCAAGUCGAACGAGACCUUCGGGUCUAGUGGCGCACGGGUGCGUAACGCGUGGGAACCUGCCCUUAGGUUAGGAAUAACUCCCCGUAAGGUGUGCUCAUAACGCUUAAUCUCAUCGGACCAAAGAUUUAUCGCCUUUGGAUGGGCCCGCGUUGGAUUCGCCCGUUGGUAGUGUAAAAGCCUACCAACGCGACGAUCCAUAGCUGGUCUGAGAACAUGCUCAUUCGCGCUGGGACUGAGACACGGCCCACACUCGUACGGGAGGCUGCAGUGGGGAACAUUGUGCGCUGAGCGAAGACGUGAUCCAGCAGUGCCGGGUAAGUGGUGCAGGCCGUAGGGUUGUAAAGCUGUCUUACCCGAGAUGAUAAUGACGGUACCGGGAGAAUAAGCUCCGGCUAACUCCGUG
Molecule: ribosomal RNA, 433 nt
Filed under: uncultured bacterium
Lineage: Bacteria
Description: partial 16S ribosomal RNA
Rfam family: Bacterial small subunit ribosomal RNA
Source: RNAcentral